UACGAAGGGGGCUAGCGUUGUUCGGAAUUACUGGGCGUAAAGCGUGCGCAGGCGGCCUUUCAAGUCAGUGGUGAAAGCCCGGAGCUCAACUCCGGAACUGCCAUUGAAACUGUUUGGCUUGAGUACGAGAGAGGUGAGUGGAAUUCCCAGUGUAGAGGUGAAAUUCGUAGAUAUUGGGAAGAACACCGGUGGCGAAGGCGGCUCACUGGCUCGUAACUGACGCUCAUGCACGACAGCGUGGGGAUCAAACAGG
This 253-nucleotide ribosomal RNA is filed under the name uncultured bacterium. RNAcentral describes it as "partial 16S ribosomal RNA". It matches the Rfam family "Bacterial small subunit ribosomal RNA", at positions 524 to 776 of the family's 1533-position model. The record is from RNAcentral.